ACUCCUACGGGAGGCAGCAGUGGGGAAUCUUGCACAAUGGGGGAAACCCUGAUGCAGCGACGCCGCGUGAGCGAUGAAGCCCUUCGGGGUGUAAAGCUCUUUCGACGGGAACGAUAAUGACGGUACCCGGAGAAGAAGCUGCGGCUAACUACGUGCCAGCAGCCGCGGUAAUACGUAGGCAGCAAGCGUUGUUCGGAGUUACUGGGCGUAAAGAGUGUGUAGGCGGUUCGCUUAGUCUGGUGUGAAAUCUCCCGGCUUAACUGGGAGGGUGCGCCGGAUACUGGCGGGCUAGAGUGCGGGAGAGGGAAGUGGAAUACCUGGUGUAGCGGUGAAAUGCGUAGAUAUCAGGAGGAACACCUGUGGUGUAGACGGCUUCCUGGACCGCCACUGACGCUGAGACACGAAAGCGUGGGGAGCAAACAGGAUUAGAUACCCUGGUAGUC
Molecule: ribosomal RNA, 443 nt
Filed under: uncultured bacterium
Lineage: Bacteria
Description: bacterial SSU rRNA
Rfam family: Bacterial small subunit ribosomal RNA
Source: RNAcentral